This 331-nucleotide ribosomal RNA is filed under the name uncultured bacterium. RNAcentral describes it as "bacterial SSU rRNA". It matches the Rfam family "Bacterial small subunit ribosomal RNA", at positions 568 to 899 of the family's 1533-position model. The record is from RNAcentral.
UCCGUAGGCGGUGCGGCAAGUCGGAAGUGAAAUCUCAGGGCUUAACCCUGAGGCUGCUUCCGAAACUGCCGUGCUGGAGUGCGAGAGAGGCGAGUGGAAUUGCAGGUGUAGCGGUGAAAUGCGUAGAUAUCUGCAGGAACAUCCGAGGCGAAAGCGGCUCGCUGGAUCGCAACUGACGCUGAGGGACGAAAGCUAGGGGAGCAAACAGGAUUAGAUACCCUGGUAGUCCUAGCCCUAAACGAUCAGGACUGGGCGUGGGCCUCGUACGGGGCUCGUGCCGCAGCUAACGCGUUAAGUCCUGCGCCUGGGGAGUACGGUCGCAAGGCUAGAA